This 517-nucleotide ribosomal RNA is filed under the name uncultured Pseudomonadota bacterium. RNAcentral describes it as "bacterial SSU rRNA". It matches the Rfam family "Bacterial small subunit ribosomal RNA", at positions 8 to 522 of the family's 1533-position model. Lineage: Bacteria; Pseudomonadati; Pseudomonadota. The record is from RNAcentral.
AGAGUUUGAUCAUGGCUCAGAUUGAACGCUGGCGGCAUGCCUUACACAUGCAAGUCGAACGGCAGCGCGGGGCAACCUGGCGGCGAGUGGCGAACGGGUGAGUAAUAUAUCGGAACGUACCCUGGAGUGGGGGAUAACGUAGCGAAAGUUACGCUAAUACCGCAUACGAUCUAAGGAUGAAAGCAGGGGACCGCAAGGCCUUGUGCUCCUGGAGCGGCCGAUAUCUGAUUAGCUAGUUGGUGGGGUAAAGGCCUACCAAGGCAUCGAUCAGUAGCUGGUCUGAGAGGACGACCAGCCACACUGGAACUGAGACACGGUCCAGACUCCUACGGGAGGCAGCAGUGGGGAAUUUUGGACAAUGGGCGAAAGCCUGAUCCAGCAGUGCCGCGUGAGUGAAGAAGGCCUUCGGGUUGUAAAGCUCUUUUGUCAGGGAAGAAACGGUGAGGGCUAAUAUCCCUUGCUAAUGACGGUACCUGAAGAAUAAGCACCGGCUAACUACGUGCCAGCAGCCGCGGUA